Tyto alba (common barn owl) is the source of this 4359-nucleotide long non-coding RNA. RefSeq lists it as uncharacterized. The transcript is spliced from 4 exons. The record is from RefSeq and is a predicted model, not a curated record. NCBI's taxonomy places the organism in Eukaryota, Metazoa, Chordata, Aves, Strigiformes, Tytonidae.
CCCCCCCCUCAGGAGAAGGGAGAAUGAUGCUUUUAACGCCAAGCACAGGAGUUAUACAAGCAGCAGUCAAAUCUGUAUUUUUCUUCAUCUGUUUUAUCACCUAACUCUAACAAUAUGUUUCAAUUCUCAGGCAGAGUGAGUGUGUGUUAGGGAUUGUAGUUCAGUAUGACCAGAGUCUUUUUUUUUAAACAAAGGGUCGUAUGCUCAUCUUUAAUGCUGUGAAUGUUGAAAUCCAUAGCCUGUAUGAUAUGCAAGUGGUACUGACGUGUUCUCCAUACUUCUUUAAGUCCUAAACUCAUGACCUCUCUGAUCAAUUCAAGAGGAGAUAAAACAUGGUUUGAAAUAAACUCGCAGGGAAAUGCUUGCACUUUCUUUCUGGAAUUACCAGGUUUAAAAUCUGGAUCUUCAUUUGCAUGGUGCCUGUUUUGCAUCCAGGUUUAGAGUGUAACUAGGAGACUCUUGAAUUAGCAGUGAGAGAAUAAUUCCUUCCAGGGUAUUAGUACUGCUAGACUGUGUUCUGUUUUUACACCAGAAACUCUUAAAUUUUCAUGAAGGUUUUGAUCCUAGCUACGUCACUGUAAUUACAGUGAAUUUGGCUGUGAAUACUGAACGUUUGUUUCAGAAAUUGAUAUUUUUGUGAAGCUGCGUAAGAAACUAACGGAAAUGUAAAACACAUUAAUGUUCAUAUGUUGUCUCUUAAAUUUAUUGUCCUUGGUUUUUUGGGGGGGGGGGGGGUUGCUAUUUAGAUAUGCAUAUUUUUUCUUGCAUUUUUGGUGUGGUACUUAAUUUGGCAACUUCACAGUCUUCUGAUCUGAAAAUGAUCGUUCAAAAUGCUGUUCAAGUUUUUCUGUUUGUUUUAUUUUUAGAUUAAUAUAACUUAUGUUGCUGACCCACUUUCCAUUAUGUAAAAACCUGAACAGAAUUUUGUCAUUGAGGUAGGAAUUCAUGAAGGCUGACACUAGAGGGCAAUUCAAAGCAGCAGUUUACCCCAGAACAGUUAUGGGUGCCUGUGGCCCUGUGUAGGAAAAGAGGGAGCCUAUGGAGACUGUCCAAGGUCUCCCCCAGGCAAAAGCUGGUUUUUGUGAUCACCCUCCUAAAUCAUUUUCUUAACUCGCUUUUUAUAUCCUUGAGUGCUCCACUGAAGGAGGAGGAAGUUGAGCCAGUUCUUACGCUUUGCUGAAUUACAAGUUAAGAAACAUCUUCCAGUGUCUUACCUCACUCACUCUUGCCACUGUCAGAAAGGCAUAACUUCUACAGUGAGGGCUUUUGUUUCUUUUUGAUUUGCUCUCAUGUGUUAUAUUGAACCCUUUGUCUGAAAGGUACUGGGGUUUGGGAGGUAGGGUAGCAUUGCACUGAAACUUCAAUGCCUGCUGAUAAGUAUCAACGAAAAUGGAAUAUAUGGUGAAUAAAGUAUCUUCUUACAAAAUACUGCAAAACUCUGCAAAUAAGACACUAAAUAAUUCAUUUCAUUUUUAAAAAAAAAAAAAAACAAAAACAAAAACAAAAAACAUACCACGAACAGGAUAAGGCAUCAGACAGGUACUUUGUGUCCAUAAUUUUAUCAAGGAAAAUAUAAUGUAUUGAAUGUAAAAAAAAAAAAAAAAAAAAAAUUUAGUUGAAGAUGAGCAAUCAGGUGCUGUAUUUAAUAUUUAACUGAGGAGGAGAUAUCAUCUGUGUAUAUUGUGCACAAUUUAAACAAUUUAUAUAACAGUGCAUUACAUAAUAAAUGACAGUUUUCACAGUUGCAAUGUUCGUUAUAGAUUUACAGAGCAUCCUGAAUGCUUGUAAAUAAUAACCUGUAAAGCAAAUGGUGAUGUCAUGGUUCUUGAAAAGCACUCAAGAAUUCUUAUUUUAGCAAUGCAAAUUCUCUCAUUAUAUUGAAAUGUAUGCACCCAGCCAUGUAAAUGCUGUGCCACAGUACAAAUUUCAACACAGGGGCAUUUUAAAAGUGUGUGUGUGUAUGUUUAUACUUGUGUCUCUAUCUAAUUUUAUACAUACAUAUAUAUCAUAUUAUAUAUUUUAUGUGUACUUAUAUGUAAAAAAGCUGAUCUAAGAUGAAAAUGGCAUGAUUGUUCCAACACUGUACCAGUUUUUCAGGUACUAUUAUCUUUGCAUUCUUUCGCACAACUUACUAUAAAUGUCUAAAACUUACUGUUGCUUCAACUGUUCUCAAUUUUUGUUUUAUAAAGAAUACUUACUUACAUUCACUCUGGCAGUGCCACAAAUCAAUAGAAAUACUACAGUGCGUUGUUACAGUAAACGUUUGCACCUGUUUUCUGCAGGUCUGAUCAGCAACUCCAGUGCAGUCUGAAAAAUACAUAAUCUGCUGGCAGCGAUGUGCCCAACCUUAACCAGUGCUGGAGCCUUUGGAAAAGAGGUUAUGUCAUCACACAGUAUAUACUGUAACAAUGACUGACCGUGAGGUAUCUGUGAAAGAAGAAAAUAGUUUUCUCGCUUCUUAAUCUGCAAAACGCACAGAAGGAAAAAAAGAAAGAAGGAAAGAAAAAAAAACCCCAACCAACCAAACAAAAAUGUGGAAUUUAACCCACUGAAGUUGUUAAGAUUCUCUGGGGUUUAGGGGAGGUUUUUGGGGUGGGGGAGUGUGUUGAGGAAUUAGUUGAUGAUCGUGUACAGUGAUAAGUCUUAAUCACACACGUGAACUCUUGAUUUUGAGAAUGUGACUAUUUAUACCAAAUUUACCUGAAUACUGAAGUGCUUAAAUGAAGCAUUCAUGUAAGCUUUUAAGGAACUGAAUCCUUAGUCUUUUGCAGGUAAGAUACUACCCAUUUAAAAAUAAGCAUUUUCAUGCUAACAUGACUCUUGUCUCUUUUUCCUUUUACCAGCUUGAUUUUUUGGCCCUAAAUCAGAGAGAAGUUCUGUCGUUAAGUUAACAUUAAGGCUGUCUUCAGAAUUUUGUUUAUUUGAACAAAGCAAGAACAAAUGUGGGAAUCUUUCAUUGAGAUGAUUGAAAUCGCUACAGUGAGAAUGGAAAUUACUUGGGCUUCUUUCCUUUUAAAAACUGCAUGCAAGAACUGUGUGAGGUCUACCUGCAUGGGCAGUGCCACAGUCCAGAGCUGAAUGGAACUCUCCCUGCAUUUGCCACUCUGGGGCCCUAAGGAUUGUGCCUGUUGUAAAGAAAGGAAGGCUCGCUGUUUUCAGAGUUCUUGUAAAAAUACCACCUGGUCCUGGUGAUUUAUAGCGUUUGAGUUUCUUGGGCUGCCAGCAGGCUCUUCCUUUGAGACGUCUAGGCCUGGUGAAACUCCUCUGAUUCCCCACAAAGCACGGCCUUGGGAUCGGGAUUUCCCUGCCAACCUUCUACGUUAAAACCAAAUAAUUUAUAUUGAGCCUCUUACAAGCACAACCCCCCUGGCCUUCAGGUGCUUCGUGUGUAAUGUAGCGGUGUCAUCAAACACUGUCUGCAUAAGAUCCACUUUACUUGGCUGGAUGAGCGUCACGUGAAUCUUGGAAGAAGGCUGAGCAAGCAAAGCAUCUUCCCUCGAGAUGUCACAAGCGAUACAGGCACCUGGCCUCUGGUUCUGGUUUGUUGGAGCAGAAACACAGAGGAGGACCAGAACUCUUUUUUUGCUCUUCCCAGUUCUUGCCCUGGGCUGUCAGCAAGUCUCCUCACAGGGCUAGACCUUAAUUAGAGGGUGACGUGGAACACGACAUUUGCAAAACAGAUUCUGGCUUGCUUCUACAUCAAUUCUUCUCAAGCGUAGCUCAACCCUGGGAACGCCAAGCUGUCCGAUGAUGGAAUUACUUCUGACUGCUUUGUGGUAGGUGGCCUGCAGUUCUCGGAUCCCUCAGCAGCCGUGAGGCUAGAGCAGAAAGUACCAGUAACGACGACACCAAAAUUGAUUUUGGCGAGGUUGAAUCACCUUUGGAUCCUUCAGCUGCAAGCAGACAGAGGGCCUGUAUUGAGUCUGGCUGAGAGGGAGUUAAUUUUACCCCUAGCAGCCCUUAUAGUGCUGUGCCUUGUCUUGGUAGGUACCAAGGUGUUGAUAACAACCACCCCAGGGUUUUGGCUACUGCUGAGCAGCGCUGGCACAGCAUCAAGGCUGUCCCUCCAACAUCCCCCCCCUCGCCGGUGGGCUGGGGGUGAGCAAGGUCUUGGGGAGGGGACACAGCCACGACAGCUCACCCAAAUCGACCAAAGGGAUAUCCCAUUCCAUACGCUCAGCAAUAAAACCCAAGAGAAAGGAGGAGGAAGGGGGGCAUUUGUCAUUUACGAUAUUUGUCUUCCCAAGUAAUCACCACACCUACUGAAGCCCUGCUUCCCAGGCAGUGGCUGGACACCACCUGCUGAUGUGAAGUAGAGAAUAAAUACUCUGUUUUCCUUCACUUUUGCUUUAUUAAAAA